Molecule: ribosomal RNA, 467 nt
Filed under: uncultured bacterium
Lineage: Bacteria
Description: partial 16S ribosomal RNA
Rfam family: Bacterial small subunit ribosomal RNA
Source: RNAcentral
GACGAACGCUGGCGGCGUGCUUAACACAUGCAAGUCGAACGGAAAGGCCCUGCUUUUGUGGGGUGCUCGAGUGGCGAACGGGUGAGUAACACGUGAGUAACCUGCCCUGUCCUUUGGGAAACCUUAGGGAACUGGGGCCUAUACCCGGUAAGAGGUUCCGCCUCCUUGGGGGGGUUGGAAAAUUUCGGCGGUUUGGGAUGGAAUCGCGGCUUAUCAGCUUGUUGGUGGGGUUGUUGCUUACCAAGGCUUUGACGGGUAGCCGGCCUGAGAGGGUGACCGGCCACAUUGGGACUGAGAUACGGCCCAGAAUCCUACGGGAGGCAGCAGUGGGGAAUAUUGCACAAUGGGCGGAAGCCUGAUGCAGCAACGCCGCGUGCGGGAUGACGGCCUUCGGGUUGUAAACCGCCUUCGCCUGUGACGAAGCGUGAGUGACGGUAAUGGGUAAAGAAGCACCGGCUAACUACGUG